This is a long non-coding RNA of Saccostrea echinata, 208 nucleotides long. RefSeq lists it as uncharacterized. The record is from RefSeq and is a predicted model, not a curated record. Lineage: Eukaryota; Metazoa; Mollusca; Bivalvia; Ostreida; Ostreidae. The transcript has 3 exons.
UUUGAAAUUUAGAUAUAUGCUGUUUCCGAAGAUCUGAGUACAUAAAUGAAGAUUACGUCAUGCAGAACGUCACAAAGAUGGAUGAUCAUCAAUAUCAGGACAUUGGUGCAGAUCAAAAAAAUGAAUAUCUCAGUUUAUCAUGAAGGUUGAAUAAUUGUCUGAAGAGCACAAAGGACCAUAAAGCAUGAUUUAUUUACAAUGAAUAAAA